AUUGAACGCUAGCGGGAUGCUUUACACAUGCAAGUCGAACGGCAGCGCGGACUUCGGUCUGGCGGCGAGUGGCGAACGGGUGAGUAAUGUAUCGGAACGUGCCCAGUAGCGGGGGAUAACUACGCGAAAGCGUAGCUAAUACCGCAUACGCCCUACGGGGGAAAGCAGGGGAUCGUAAGACCUUGCACUAUUGGAGCGGCCGGUAUCGGAUUAGCUAGUUGGUGAGGUAACGGCUCACAAAGGCGACGAUCCGUAGCUGGUUUGAGAGGACGACCAGCCACACUGGGACUGAGACACGGCCCAGACUCCUACGGGAGGCAGCAGUGGGGAAUUUUGGACAAUGGGGGCAACCCUGAUCCAGCCAUCCCGCGUGUGCGAUGAAGGCCUUCGGGUUGUAAAGCACUUUUGGCAGGAAAGAAACGUCGCGGGCUAAUACCCCGUGGAACUGACGGUACCUGCAGAAUAAGCACCGGCUAACUACGUG
Molecule: ribosomal RNA, 484 nt
Filed under: uncultured bacterium
Lineage: Bacteria
Description: partial 16S ribosomal RNA
Rfam family: Bacterial small subunit ribosomal RNA
Source: RNAcentral